Molecule: ribosomal RNA, 307 nt
Filed under: Ischnochiton paululus
Lineage: Eukaryota; Metazoa; Mollusca; Polyplacophora; Chitonida; Ischnochitonidae
Description: eukaryotic LSU rRNA
Rfam family: Eukaryotic large subunit ribosomal RNA
Source: RNAcentral
CCAAGGAGUCUAGCAUGUGCGCGAGUCAUUGGGUUUCACUAAACCUAAAGGCGAAAUGAAAGUGAAGGCAGCCUCGGGUUUGCCCAGGUAGGAUCCCGGUCGUCUCGGCCUGGCGCACUACCGGCCCGUCGCGUCCGCUCUGCGGUGCGGCGGAGCAAGAGCGUACACGCUGGGACCCGAAAGAUGGUGAACUAUGCCUGAGUAGGACGAAGCCAGAGGAAACUCUGGUGGAAGUCCGUAGCGGUUCUGACGUGCAAAUCGAUCGUCGAACUUGGGUAUAGGGGCGAAAGACUAAUCGAACCAUCUA